This 70-nucleotide transfer RNA is filed under the name Marmota monax (woodchuck). RNAcentral describes it as "tRNA.Ala". Lineage: Eukaryota; Metazoa; Chordata; Mammalia; Rodentia; Sciuridae. The record is from RNAcentral.
GGGCUGGGGCUCAGCGGUAGAGUGCCCACCUAGCAUGUGCGAGGUCCUGGGUUUGACCCUCAGCACUACA